RNAcentral lists this ribosomal RNA (338 nucleotides) under uncultured eukaryote. Its description in RNAcentral is "partial 18S ribosomal RNA". It matches the Rfam family "Eukaryotic small subunit ribosomal RNA", at positions 1470 to 1796 of the family's 1831-position model. The record is from RNAcentral.
CCCUUAGAUGUUCGGGGCCGCACGCGCGCUACACUGGCGGAAUCAGCGGGUAUUUCUCCCUUGGUCGGAAGGUCUGGGUAAUCCGCUGAACCUCCUCCGUGAUGGGGAUAGGGAAUUGCAAUUAUUUCCCUUGAACGAGGAAUUCCCAGUAAGCGCGAGUCAUCAGCUCGCGUUGAUUACGUCCCUGCCCUUUGUACACACCGCCCGUCGCUACUACCGAUUGAAUGGUUUAGUGAGAUCCUCGGAUCGGCGGCGUCGGGACGGCCCUGCCGUACCGUUCUGCAUUGUCCGAGAAGACGAUCAAACUUGAUCAUUUAGAGGAAGUAAAAGUCGUAACA